RNAcentral lists this long non-coding RNA (532 nucleotides) under Physcomitrium patens. RNAcentral describes it as "long non-coding RNA (PPAT_LNC000351)". Lineage: Eukaryota; Viridiplantae; Streptophyta; Bryopsida; Funariales; Funariaceae. The record is from RNAcentral.
AUAGAUAUUAAUUCAUUUUUGAAAGAUAUUAAUAAAAUAUAUUAAUAAUCCAUAUUAUAAGAAAUUUAGGAGGACGGAUGAGUGAUUUAAUUAUUAAAAGUAAUUAAUUACAGAAUUACGGUUAGAAUUUGGAAAAUCAAGAGAAAGUAUAUAGGAGUUGUAGAAGAUAAUUAAGGUGCCAAAUUGUGAUAGUCAUGAGCAGAGGGCCAUCACUAUGAUAGUUGUGAGCUGGGGUAAGCUUGGUGCUACCUCUUUUCUUUUGUUUGUUAUUUUCUUUGAAUAUGAGAAUUGAGAGUUUUUGAAUAUUGUAAAGUGAAUUAUGGAAUGGAAAUGUGAUUGGUAUUAUUUGAGAAGAAGAAAGAUUGAAUGCUGAAAUUUGAUUGUAGUUCAGCAAAGAGAAUGAGUUUGUGUUUGUAUGAAAUACCGUAAUGUGAAUGGCAGUUCUGUGUGAAGAAAUCCAGUGAUUGGAAUGAGGAUAAUUGUGUGCUAAAAGCUGUACAGGCGGAGUAUUACAGUUGGAGAUUAUGAAGGU